Anolis carolinensis (green anole) is the source of this 2724-nucleotide long non-coding RNA. RefSeq lists it as uncharacterized. The transcript has 3 exons. The record is from RefSeq and is a predicted model, not a curated record. Lineage: Eukaryota; Metazoa; Chordata; Lepidosauria; Squamata; Anolidae.
CAGCUGCUGUGGAGCUCUGCAGCAUCUUCGUCGUAAUUUUCUAGAGGAGUCCCCUUGGAGAAUGAGUUUUCAUGGCUCAUGAAAAAAGAUGUCCAAAUAGGAUGCAGAAUAAGGAAAACAUGGCAAUUGGACAUCUCUGCUUUCAGGGUGAAGUAUUGCAUACCCACCAACAUUUUGCAGAUGAAACCAGGAUAUGUAGCCAAGCAACUUGAGAAGAACAAGCUAUGAGAGGCUCCUGCAGUUUGCUUUUGCCUGCAUCUACAUGGAAGGAUGAGAUUGCACUCUUUUGGCUCUCUCUCCUCAUUGAAUUGAAUGAAGGAGGAGAGAGACAACUGGGACAUUUUGAAAGCAACUGAAAAAUGAGAAACAGAGAAUUGAUCAGGAUAGUUGCUGUCAAAUCAGGACACUUGGAGAGCAUGCGAUUGACUGGAAAUAAAUAUUGUCAUUUCCUCUCUUUUUGGAAAGAAGAAGCUGGCUUUUAUUUUAUAUUAUGCUUCUGUAAGCACAACAUCAAUCUCUCUUGUAGCACAGUCAUCCAUAAAUGGAUUCCUGAUGUUAUCGAAUAAAUCAACUGUGGUCUCUUAGCUGGCAUCUUAUUCUCUCAAACCAUGCCAUUUGGGUCAUCGAAGCUAUCCUUUCACCGCUUGCAAAUCUCCUGCUGAUUUCUUGCCUGUAAAUAAAGUGCUUAGCUGUCCUCUUAUAUUUCCCUGAUCUGCAUCCAUUCCAUCUUGAAGUCAUGAGGGCCUCUGAUCUCUGAAGUUAAGGUCAAGACUCUUGUUUGAGCAGAGCCGUAGUCAAGGAUAGCAGAUAUUGUUGGCACUAAGGAGCGGCAGAUUAAAUGCGUGAUUUCCACAUUAUCUGGUGACUGACAGAACUGUAUUCUUAGGAGAACUAGUGAGACCCAAACAGUAUGCACUGAUAGCAUGGAGUUUUGCUUUCUUUAUAUAUCAUUGCACUUGUUUAAUACAGCAAUAAAGAGCAAAAACUAUGAGCCUGAUAAGUAAAUUGGUCUCCAUCCAGGACUAUCCAGGCAAGCACCUUACAAAAUACACUGUAUAAUAUAAAAUCUACUAAACCACAGUGUGUCAGUGUGGUGUGGCAGUUUGAGUGUUGAACUAUGACUGAAGGAGGCAGGAAUUUGAAUCCCAGUUCCAUCAUGGAAACUCACUGGGUGACCUUGGGUAAGUCACAUUCUCCUAGGCUCAGAAGGAAAUGAUGGCCAACCUCUUCUGAAUAAAUCUUGUGAAGAAAAAUGUUUAUAGGCUCAAUUUAGGAUUGCCUUAAAUUGGACACAACUUGAAGGCUAACAACAACAACAACGCCUCCCAUUAUCUUCUUUGCCGCACUCUUCUGUAAUAAGAGAUUGAGUGAUAAUCCAUUUCUAUCCAUUGCAUAUUGAACAUGAUAAACAAUAUGAAAUAGUAGCAUAUUGUCAGAAGUAGAUGAAAUCUUUUUUAUUCUUGUAAUAAAAAAUAUAUUGGUUUUCAUUAUUUGAACAUUCCAGUGUUUACUUAAUCUAGAAUUGUAGGUUCUUUAGAAUUUGUUUUGUUCUUCCUGCUGUUCUAGAACCAGAUUCCCAUUCAAAUAAUCUAAUGUUUAUGCAUUAAUUCAUUUCUAUAAGUAACUCUUCAUCAAUUUUUUAUUGCUGAGAAAUUAUCUUUCUGAUUUUACAUUUAGGCUUACAGUUUAAAAUUAUUUGGUUUAUAAUACAUUUUCUGUAUGUAUAUGUGUGUAUCUAUUGUUACUUUUAAACAUUGACUCCUAAUGUAAUUCAUUCUCAAUGUACCUUACAUGUUCCAUCUUUAAAACAAAUAUAUUACAUUAUUUGUCUCUUUUCUAUUACAGUAGAGUCUCGCUUAUCCAACGUAAAUGGGCCGGCAGAACAAUGGAUAAGCGAAUAUGUUGGAUAAUAAGGAGAGAUUAAGGAAAAGCCUAUUAAACAUCAAAUUAGGUUAUGAUUUUACAAAUUAAGCACCAAAACAUCAUGUUAUACAACAAAUUUGACAGAAAAAAGUAGUUCAAUACGCAGUAAUGCUAUGUAGUAAUUACUGUAUUUAUGAGUUUAGCACCAAAAUAUCAUGAUGUAUUGAAAACAUUGACUACAAAAAUGCAUUGGAUAAUCCAGAAUGUUGGAUAAGCGAGUGUUGGAUAAGUGAGACUCUACUGUACUCAUAAAAUUACAUUAAUCAAGGCAUCAGUAGGUUAAAUGUUUUUGAAUAUUUACAUAAAACUGUAAUUUAAGAUAAUAAGACUUUAAUAAGAUAAGACUGUCCAACUCUGAUUACCUAUAUACUCAAGUAUAAGCUAACCCUAAUAUAAACUGGCCAGGACCCUCUUUUGAGUAUAAGCUGAGGGGGGCUUUUUCAGCUGUAAAAAGAGCUGAAAAUGUGGCUUAUACUUGAGUAUAUAUGGUAAGUAAGCAUUACUCAAUACAUGAAUGAAAAGUAACAGCAUUACCUAUUGUUACUCUCUUAUUUUGGAAAAAAGCACUGUUAUUCCCUAAUUACUCCCCUCGCCAACAAUAACAUGCAAUAUCUGGAUCCUAACUAGAGUAGAAUGAUUCAAGCAAUUAUUGAGCGAUAAGUGAACACUUAUGGAAAUCUCAUUGAUUCAAUGAAUCCACUGUAUUUAAGUAAUAAUGCAGGUAUUGUCAUUGUGUUAUUUCCAAGCUAUGGAAGUGUCCACACAUGUGUAUACAGAAGAAUAAAUUUCUUAUUCAGUGUC